Molecule: long non-coding RNA, 926 nt
Filed under: Limulus polyphemus (Atlantic horseshoe crab)
Lineage: Eukaryota; Metazoa; Arthropoda; Merostomata; Xiphosura; Limulidae
Description: uncharacterized LOC106473373, transcript variant X2
Source: RNAcentral
UUUAGGUCAUCGUGGUAUUCUUCUGAGCGUAGGUCUCCAAACAUGUGGUGAAAGAGCAACUUGUAUGCUGAGACAGCGACAUCCGUGUUUUGCCGUCUCGACUUCCGUUAUGAAGACUUUUUAUUUCUGAACGUGUGCCGACUGUGCCGUCUUGUCAUACCGUGGAUCGAAAAUGACUUUGGAAACAACCCCGUCUCUUUCAACACCUAAAUAGCAGGAUUAAUUGCCGCUGUUUGAACGACUUAAUGAAUUAAAAACCCUUGUUUCUUUUUGAACAACUUAGAAUCAAAUUAAUCAGCCUCGUCUCUUCGUCUCUGAAAAACCUAAUAGCAGGAUUAAACAACUCCGUCUACGUGAACAACCGCGCCUGUCUUUAAACAACUUAUACGUGUAUCGAUUAACCUGAUAUUUACUUGAACAACUUAAAAAACGCUGUCUCUAUUUCUAUUCGAACAACUUAUAGUAGGAUUAAACAACUCCGUUUCUGUUUGGUCAAAUUAUAAUAGAAUUUGAAUGAAACUUCCAUGUAACGUACAUUGAAUUAAUAAUCGAUUGUCUUUUGUUUUCGUCAUUUAUUAUAAAUAAUUUUACAUAGAUUAACUGCGUGUAAACAAAGGUGAAAUGAGAAAGAAGCGUGUCCUAGAACUAUCGUGUAGUAAUGUGUAUCAUAAUCACUAACAUUUAUGUAGUUUGUCAAAUUUAUGAGCUACAAAGAAAAAUGUUUGACAGUAGAACUUACUUAGAAUUACUCUAAAGACAUCAUCAUUUUCAUUAAGGUUAGGGCUAACUUUCCAAGUAGUCUUUCUUUAGUUGUGUUCUGUUUGCUUCUAGCUGGGGAAUAUUCAUGUUGUUUUCUUUUAAUGCUUGUAUGAAAAAAAAUCAUUAUAAUGGUUUUGUCACAAUAAAAUGUACUCUGCUACUUUGCA